GGAUGUAAGGGCAAUUUGGCUGUAACAUCAUACACUCCAUUGAUCGUGAAGUUGGUUUGGCUGAUCUGGCUUCCUCCCUCAUGGAUCCACAAAUUUGUCUAGAAGCCACAGGCCAGCAGUAGACCUUCCCUGAUGGAGUCCUGCUGUUCCUUUGAGGGUAAUAGAGUGGCUGUGCUUCCCUGAUCAGCCUCCAAACAGGCUCGCCAGAGGAUUUUAUAGAUGGAACUGCACCAUGGGUAACUUUUGGAGUCUGUUUUGGUAGAGCACAGAACUCU
RNAcentral lists this small nuclear RNA (275 nucleotides) under Rattus norvegicus (Norway rat). Its description in RNAcentral is "7SK RNA". It matches the Rfam family "7SK RNA", at positions 1 to 283 of the family's 331-position model. Rfam says of the family: 7SK was discovered as an abundant small nuclear RNA in the mid-70s but a possible function has only recently been suggested. Two independent studies have found that 7SK RNA binds the CDK9/cyclin T complex (known as elongation factor P-TEFb). Lineage: Eukaryota; Metazoa; Chordata; Mammalia; Rodentia; Muridae. The record is from Rfam by way of RNAcentral.